This 259-nucleotide unclassified non-coding RNA is filed under the name Hevea brasiliensis (rubber tree). The record is from RNAcentral. Lineage: Eukaryota; Viridiplantae; Streptophyta; Magnoliopsida; Malpighiales; Euphorbiaceae.
CUCUUCAAUGUCUCCAUUAUUUUGUUGACAAUUCUUUGUCGCGAAUCAGGCUGCAACUGAGCUCUCCAAUCACCGGUGUCAAUUCCAGGGUCGCCACCUUGGGCAUUAGGCCUCCAGUUAUUGUUAUCCAUCAGAUUCCAACCAACGAAAAUAAACUGCCGGUAACCCUUCAGAGUGGAACCCUUCUCGCUGUAUCUGUUGUUCGUUAUCAGGAAGACAUCAAAAGAACAAGAAGAAGAGGUGGAGACGAGCUAAAGAU